RNAcentral lists this ribosomal RNA (253 nucleotides) under uncultured bacterium. RNAcentral describes it as "partial 16S ribosomal RNA". It matches the Rfam family "Bacterial small subunit ribosomal RNA", at positions 524 to 776 of the family's 1533-position model. The record is from RNAcentral.
UACAGAGGGUGCAAGCGUUAAUCGGAAUUACUGGGCGUAAAGCGAGCGUAGUCGGUUAUUUAAGUCGGGUGUGAAAGCCCCGGGCUCAACCUGGGAAUUGCAUUCGAUACUGGAUAGCUAGAGUUCGGCAGAGGGAAGCGGAAUUUCCGGUGUAGCGGUGAAAUGCGUUGAGAUCGGAAGGAACGCCCGUGGCGAAAGCGAGUUCCUGGACGUCGGCUGACGCUGAGACGCGAAAGCCAGGGGAGCGAACGGG